RNAcentral lists this ribosomal RNA (433 nucleotides) under uncultured bacterium. RNAcentral's name for it is "partial 16S ribosomal RNA". It matches the Rfam family "Bacterial small subunit ribosomal RNA", at positions 29 to 507 of the family's 1533-position model. The record is from RNAcentral.
GCGAACGCUGGCGGCAGGCCUAACACCUGCAAGUCGAACGAACCUUUCGGGGUUAGUGGCGGACGGGUGAGUAACACGUGGGAACGUGCCUUUAGGUUCGGAAUAACUCAGGGCAACUUGUGCUAAUACCGAAUGUGCCCUUCGGGGGAAAGAUUUAUCGCCUUUAGAGCGGCCCGCGUCUGAUUAGCUAGUUGGUUGAGGUAAUGGCUCACCAAGGCGACGAUCAGUAGCUGGUCUGAGAGGAUGAUCAGCCACAUUGGGACUGAGACACGGCCCAAACUCCUACGGGAGGCAGCAGUGGGGAAUCUUGCGCAAUGGGCGAAAGCCUGACGCAGCCAUGCCGCGUGAAUGAUGAAGGUCUUAGGAUUGUAAAAUUCUUUCACCGGGGACGAUAAUGACGGUACCCGGAGAAGAAGCCCCGGCUAACUUCGUG